Long non-coding RNA from Tripterygium wilfordii, 237 nucleotides. RefSeq lists it as uncharacterized. Lineage: Eukaryota; Viridiplantae; Streptophyta; Magnoliopsida; Celastrales; Celastraceae. The record is from RefSeq and is a predicted model, not a curated record. The transcript is spliced from 2 exons.
GUAACCUAAUUACAUCAUUUGACGAUACAAACGAGGCAGGUCUUGAGACGCAAAAGCAUCGUCUCGGGAAUCCAUUGUGGAAGAGUUGCUCCCGUCGAUGUUCGUGGCCUUUUUCGGACGAUUGAGCUUCGAUUCACAUGAGAAAAGGAAGCCAUAACCAGACCAUCGACAAGAUGACAAAAGUUAGGUCACUGAAAAAGAAAGAAAGUGACAAAUCAUCGAAGAAGGAAACCUCAU